AAUCAACGCUGGCGGCGUGCCUCAGACAUGCAAGUCGAACGAUUAAAGCUCUCUUCGGAGAGUGUAUAGAGUGGCGCACGGGUGAGUAACACGUAAGUAAUCUACCUUUGAGUGGGGAAUAACAUCGGGAAACCGAUGCUAAUACCGCAUAAUGCAGCGGCAUCGCAAGAUGACAGUUGUUAAAGAUUUAUCGCUUGAAGAGGAGCUUGCGGCAGAUUAGCUAGUUGGUAAGGUAAUGGCUUACCAAGGCUACGAUCUGUAACCGGUCUAAGAGGACGGUCGGUCACACUGACACUGAAUAACGGGUCAGACUCCUACGGGAGGCAGCAGUCGGGAAUUUUGGGCAAUGGGCGAAAGCCUGACCCAGCAACGCCGCGUGAAGGAUGAAGUAUUUCGGUAUGUAAACUUCGAAGAAUGGGAAGAUAAAUGACGUACCAUUUAUAAGGUCCGGCUAACUACGUGCCAGCCGCCGCCGUAAUACCUGGGACUGCCAAGGCAC
This 499-nucleotide ribosomal RNA is filed under the name uncultured bacterium. Its description in RNAcentral is "bacterial SSU rRNA". It matches the Rfam family "Bacterial small subunit ribosomal RNA", at positions 36 to 538 of the family's 1533-position model. The record is from RNAcentral.